GGUCCUGGGUGGCCUUGCCUGCUAGCAAAGCACCCGCUGUGCAUCGUUCUCGCCUGUGAGCACCCAGAGGAAGUUCACCGCCACCUUCCCCUUCUACCACCUAUGAGAAAAGGCCACCCUCUCUUGGAUUUGAUCCCAGAGCUCUGGGUCGAAGGCAGGGACUUCCUAUGUAAGUAGAGUAAGUGAACAGCAGUGGGCGGAUGCCUGGGAAGGCGGGCGAAGAGGGUGAGGGGUGUGCUCUCUCCUCACUCUAAACGCGGUGAAGGCUGUGUCCUUUGACGGCGUCCUGAACAUCCGGGCCUGGAGCUUUGGUUAUGACUGCGACAUGUGCUCUGGCUCUCCUGCCUUUGUGCUCCAGGUGACUUGACCUCAGGUG
RNAcentral lists this long non-coding RNA (376 nucleotides) under Homo sapiens (human). RNAcentral describes it as "non-protein coding lnc-UBE2V2-5:2". The record is from RNAcentral. Lineage: Eukaryota; Metazoa; Chordata; Mammalia; Primates; Hominidae.